RNAcentral lists this ribosomal RNA (518 nucleotides) under Cryptosporidium parvum. Its description in RNAcentral is "SSU rRNA". It matches the Rfam family "Eukaryotic small subunit ribosomal RNA", at positions 355 to 901 of the family's 1831-position model. The record is from RNAcentral. Lineage: Eukaryota; Apicomplexa; Conoidasida; Eucoccidiorida; Cryptosporidiidae.
ACGGGUAACGGGGAAUUAGGGUUCGAUUCCGGAGAGGGAGCCUGAGAAACGGCUACCACAUCUAAGGAAGGCAGCAGGCGCGCAAAUUACCCAAUCCUAAUACAGGGAGGUAGUGACAAGAAAUAACAAUACAGGACUUUUUGGUUUUGUAAUUGGAAUGAGUUGAGUAUAAACCCCUUUACAAGUAUCAAUUGGAGGGCAAGUCUGGUGCCAGCAGCCGCGGUAAUUCCAGCUCCAAUAGCGUAUAUUAAAGUUGUUGCAGUUAAAAAGCUCGUAGUUGGAUUUCUGUUAAUAAUUUAUAUAAAAUAUUUUGAUGAAUAUUUAUAUAAUAUUAACAUAAUUCAUAUUACUAUAUAUUUUAGUAUAUGAAAUUUUACUUUGAGAAAAUUAGAGUGCUUAAAGCAGGCAUAUGCCUUGAAUACUCCAGCAUGGAAUAAUAUUAAAGAUUUUUAUCUUUCUUAUUGGUUCUAAGAUAAGAAUAAUGAUUAAUAGGGACAGUUGGGGGCAUUUGUAUUUAA